UAAUAUUUACAGGUGAAACACACACAAUAUUACACAUAAACAGCUGCAACCAAUCCAUUCCAACAUGGCCUAGCGAUAUUACACAAAAUCGAUGCCAUUUUACAUUCAACCUCUUUGCAAUAAUAAGUCUCGCAACACUGUCCGCAUGAUGUUUGACGGAGUGAACGGAGUAGAGGGAGCCAUUUUUGUUUUGUUGUGGAGCAGUCGAUUCUUCAAUUUUAUGUUAAAAAUUCGUGAAAAAUCUUAAAGAUGUCCCAACAAACAGUGCUUACAUUGUUUAUGAGUGAAUUAACUGUGGUUUGUAUCGGUCCCGGAAGGAACAGUCCACCGGAAUCCACCCGGUGUGAGGUUCGUACCCCGUAAAGUACACGGCGGACGGCAGGUUACCAUCAUGUGGCCAAUAGAGUAAGAACACACCAGUGUGGCUCGAAUGAAUUCCAGAACGGACCUAGCUAGCGCCUACAGUGAAACGGAUCGAUACGAAACGAGUAUGAACGAGCUUUGUGAAUUAUUCUACUGUUUGGUGAAGGAAUCUAAACACAUCCUCGAGUGCCUUCAGGAAGGGUCUACUGCGGUUCCUCGGAUAAUUGUUUAAAACAUUAAAAAAUGUACUACAUGUUGUAAUAAAAAAAAGUUGAUGAUUUAAAUGAA
Long non-coding RNA from Aedes aegypti (yellow fever mosquito), 651 nucleotides. RefSeq lists it as uncharacterized. The transcript is spliced from 3 exons. The record is from RefSeq and is a predicted model, not a curated record. NCBI's taxonomy places the organism in Eukaryota, Metazoa, Arthropoda, Insecta, Diptera, Culicidae.